Molecule: ribosomal RNA, 249 nt
Filed under: uncultured bacterium
Lineage: Bacteria
Description: partial 16S ribosomal RNA
Rfam family: Bacterial small subunit ribosomal RNA
Source: RNAcentral
GAUCCUGGCUCAGGAUGAACGCUGGCGGCAUGCCUAAUACAUGCAAGUCGAACGGACCGAAGGGAAAGCUUGCUUUCCCUGAAGUCAGUGGCGAACGGGUGAGUAACACGUAGGUAACCUGCCCAUGUGCCCGGGACAACGCCUGGAAACGGGUGCUAAAACCGGAUAGGUAGAGAGAUCGCAUGAACUUUCUAUUAAAGGGGCUACGGCCCUGAACAUGGAUGGACCUGCGGUGCAUUAGCUAGUUCG